Triticum dicoccoides is the source of this 341-nucleotide long non-coding RNA. RefSeq lists it as uncharacterized. The record is from RefSeq and is a predicted model, not a curated record. The transcript has 2 exons. Lineage: Eukaryota; Viridiplantae; Streptophyta; Magnoliopsida; Poales; Poaceae.
AGGGAACUUGUGAAGCUCUUGGUAAAAGGAGAUUCUGUAUUGCACCAUAAACUUCCACAUUUCCACAUUUGAGAGGGAAGCAAGAAGUUAUAGCUAAUUGGAUGCAUUAUCUACUAUUGCACAGAAAAACGCAUCGUGAUGGUGCUUAUACGAUAAAGGAUUACGUGAAAGGGGGAUAAAGAGGUCGACAGGAUGAAUCCAUGCUUUGCUGUGUGAGGAACAAGGGUUGGAACAUUUGAAUAUAUGGGUUUAAGCUAGUGUUUGAACUUUGUACUAAACCUGUACUAAAGGUCGACAGGCCAUUUUAAGUACCGUAAUUAUUGGCCUACCAUCGUUACAAA